CGUAGGUGGCAAGCGUUGUCCGGAUUUAUUGGGUUUAAAGGGUGCGUAGGCGGUUUUCUAAGUCAGCAGUGAAAUACGGCAGCUCAACUGUCGAGGUGCUGUUGAUACUGGGGAACUUGAGUACUGAUGAGGUAGGCGGAAUGGACGGUGUAGCGGUGAAAUGCUUAGAGAUCGUCCAGAACACCGAUAGCGAAGGCAGCCUACUAAGGAGUAACUGACGCUGAGGCACGAAAGUGUGGGGAUCAAACAGGAUUAGAUACCCUGGUAGUCCACACUGUAAACGAUGAUUACUCGAUGUGUGCGAUACACGGCACGCGUCUUAGCAAAGCGAUAAGUAAUCCACCUGGGGAGUACGCCGGCAACGGUG
This 367-nucleotide ribosomal RNA is filed under the name uncultured organism. Its description in RNAcentral is "bacterial SSU rRNA". It matches the Rfam family "Bacterial small subunit ribosomal RNA", at positions 526 to 896 of the family's 1533-position model. The record is from RNAcentral.